Molecule: ribosomal RNA, 1275 nt
Filed under: Ruminococcus sp. A254.MGS-254
Lineage: Bacteria; Bacillati; Bacillota; Clostridia; Eubacteriales; Oscillospiraceae
Description: bacterial LSU rRNA
Rfam family: Bacterial large subunit ribosomal RNA
Source: RNAcentral
GCCCGUACCGAAAAUGGACACACAUGGGUGAGGAGAGAAUCCUAAGGUGAGCGAGAGAACUAUAGCUAAGGAACUCUGCAAAAUGACUCCGUAACUUAGGGAGAAGGAGUGCUCAUAGAGAUAUGAGCCGCAGUGAAACGGCCCAAGCGACUGUUUACCAAAAACACAGCUCUCUGCUAAGCCGCAAGGCGAAGUAUAGGGGGUGACGCCUGCCCGGUGCUGGAAGGUUAAGGGGAGGGGUUAACGCAAGUGAAGCCCUGAACUGAAGCCCCAGUAAACGGCGGCCGUAACUAUAACGGUCCUAAGGUAGCGAAAUUCCUUGUCAGGUAAGUUCUGACCCGCACGAAAGGCGUAACGAUUUGGGCGCUGUCUCGGCUGUAGACUCGGUGAAGUCUUAGUACCUGUGAAGAUGCAGGUUACCCGCGACUAGACGGAAAGACCCCAUGGAGCUUUACUGUAGCCUGAUAUUGGACUCUGAUGCAUGAUGUACAGGAUAGGUAGGAGGCUGAGAUACGGAUACGCCAGUAUUCGAGGAGCCGACGUUGGGAUACUACCCUUGAUGCAUUGGAGUUCUAACCGGGCCUCAUGGAACUGAGGACGGGACAGUGUCAGGUGGGCAGUUUGACUGGGGCGGUCGCCUCCCAAAGAGUAACGGAGGCGCCCAAAGAUACCCUCAGCAUGGAUGGAAACCAUGCGCAGAGUGCAAAGGCAGAAGGGUGUUUGACUGCGAGACAGACGAGUCGAGCAGGGACGAAAGUCGGGCUUAGUGAUCCGGCGGCACCGCAUGGAAGGGCCGUCGCUCAACGGAUAAAAGCUACCCUGGGGAUAACAGGCUGAUCUCCCCCAAGAGUUCACAUCGACGGGGAGGUUUGGCACCUCGAUGUCGGCUCAUCGCAUCCUGGAGCUGAAGUCGGUUCCAAGGGUUGGGCUGUUCGCCCAUUAAAGCGGUACGCGAGCUGGGUUCAGAACGUCGUGAGACAGUUCGGUCCCUAUCUGUCGUGGGCGCAGGAAGUUUGAGGAGAGCUGCCCUCAGUACGAGAGGACCGGGGUGGACGGACCGAUGGUGCACCAGUUGUCACGCCAGUGGCACAGCUGGGUAGCCAAGUCCGGAAGGGAUAAACGCUGAAGGCAUCUAAGCGUGAAGCCCCCUCCAAGAUGAGACUUCCCAUUCUUCGGAAGGAAGGUCCCUCCAAGACGAGGAGGUAGAUAGGUCAUGGGUGCAAGCAUGGCGACAUGCUGAGCUGAAUGAUACUAAUAGACCGAGAGCUUAGCCAU